UGAGUAUCAUGUAUGAUAUUACGAUGAUGAAGAGUUUGUUAUUAGUUAUGAGCAUAUAAGUUAUGAGCAUGAUAUAUGUGUUUGGCAUAAUUUCGUGAAUCUCUUGGAGAUAUUCUAUGGUGGUAUUUUAUUAGUGUAAGCAUUGAUGUGAGAGUUCAAACGUUAGAGGUUAUCCUGUCGCUCUAAUGACCAUUCAAGCUCAGGUUCAAUAGAAUAGGAUAUGUGGUGAGAGAUGUAAGAUGUCCUAGUCUAAUGGCUUUACCUUGACCAAGGUGUUAAUGAACUAACUUUGUGUGGUAAGGUGAAAUUCAUUGACAAUGAUUAUGUAGAGUAGUAAAGGCCUUUACAAAUACACGACCCCGCG
Molecule: long non-coding RNA, 364 nt
Filed under: Vigna radiata
Lineage: Eukaryota; Viridiplantae; Streptophyta; Magnoliopsida; Fabales; Fabaceae
Description: long non-coding RNA (VRAD_LNC007381)
Source: RNAcentral